AAAUUGAAGAGUUUGAUCAUGGCUCAGAUUGAACGCUGGCGGCAGGCCUAACACAUGCAAGUCGAGCGGUAGCACAGAGAGCUUGCUCUCGGGUGACGAGCGGCGGACGGGUGAGUAAUGUCUGGGAAACUGCCUGAUGGAGGGGGAUAACUACUGGAAACGGUAGCUAAUACCGCAUAACGUCGCAAGACCAAAGUGGGGGACCUUCGGGCCUCAUGCCAUCAGAUGUGCCCAGAUGGGAUUAGCUAGUAGGUGGGGUAACGGCUCACCUAGGCGACGAUCCCUAGCUGGUCUGAGAGGAUGACCAGCCACACUGGAACUGAGACACGGUCCAGACUCCUACGGGAGGCAGCAGUGGGGAAUAUUGCACAAUGGGCGCAAGCCUGAUGCAGCCAUGCCGCGUGUGUGAAGAAGGCCUUCGGGUUGUAAAGCACUUUCAGCGGGGAGGAAGGCGUUAAGGUUAAUAACCUUGGCGAUUGACGUUACCCGCAGAAGAAGCACCGGCUAACUCCGUGCCAGCAGCCGCGGUAAUACGGAGGGUGCAAGCGUUAAUCGGAAUUACUGGGCGUAAAGCGCACGCAGGCGGUCUGUCAAGUCGGAUGUGAAAUCCCCGGGCUCAACCUGGGAACUGCAUUCGAAACUGGCAGGCUAGAGUCUUGUAGAGGGGGGUAGAAUUCCAGGUGUAGCGGUGAAAUGCGUAGAGAUCUGGAGGAAUACCGGUGGCGAAGGCGGCCCCUGGACAAAGACUGACGCUCAGGUGCGAAAGCGUGGGGAGCAAACAGGAUUAGAUACCCUGGUAGUCCACGCCGUAAACGAUGUCGAUUUGGAGGUUGUGCCCUUGAGGCGUGGCUUCCGGAGCUAACGCGUUAAAUCGACCGCCUGGGGAGUACGGCCGCAAGGUUAAAACUCAAAUGAAUUGACGGGGGCCCGCACAAGCGGUGGAGCAUGUGGUUUAAUUCGAUGCAACGCGAAGAACCUUACCUGGUCUUGACAUCCACAGAACUUUCCAGAGAUGGAUUGGUGCCUUCGGGAACUGUGAGACAGGUGCUGCAUGGCUGUCGUCAGCUCGUGUUGUGAAAUGUUGGGUUAAGUCCCGCAACGAGCGCAACCCUUAUCCUUUGUUGCCAGCGGUUCGGCCGGGAACUCAAAGGAGACUGCCAGUGAUAAACUGGAGGAAGGUGGGGAUGACGUCAAGUCAUCAUGGCCCUUACGACCAGGGCUACACACGUGCUACAAUGGCAUAUACAAAGAGAAGCGACCUCGCGAGAGCAAGCGGACCUCAUAAAGUAUGUCGUAGUCCGGAUUGGAGUCUGCAACUCGACUCCAUGAAGUCGGAAUCGCUAGUAAUCGUAGAUCAGAAUGCUACGGUGAAUACGUUCCCGGGCCUUGUACACACCGCCCGUCACACCAUGGGAGUGGGUUGCAAAAGAAGUAGGUAGCUUAACCUUCGGGAGGGCGCUUACCACUUUGUGAUUCAUGACUGGGGUGAAGUCGUAACAAGGUAACCGUAGGGGAACCUGCGGUUGGAUCACCUCCUUACCUUAAAGAA
RNAcentral lists this ribosomal RNA (1549 nucleotides) under Klebsiella pneumoniae. RNAcentral's name for it is "bacterial SSU rRNA". It matches the Rfam family "Bacterial small subunit ribosomal RNA". Lineage: Bacteria; Pseudomonadati; Pseudomonadota; Gammaproteobacteria; Enterobacterales; Enterobacteriaceae. The record is from RNAcentral.